UAACUGAAGGCUCAAGGAAUCCUCCUGC
RNAcentral lists this non-coding RNA (28 nucleotides) under Homo sapiens (human). Lineage: Eukaryota; Metazoa; Chordata; Mammalia; Primates; Hominidae. The record is from RNAcentral.